This 385-nucleotide ribosomal RNA is filed under the name uncultured marine Chaetocerotaceae. RNAcentral's name for it is "SSU rRNA". It matches the Rfam family "Eukaryotic small subunit ribosomal RNA", at positions 587 to 972 of the family's 1831-position model. Lineage: Eukaryota; Bacillariophyta; Thalassiosirophyceae; Chaetocerotales; Chaetocerotaceae. The record is from RNAcentral.
AGCUUCAGUAGCGUAUAUUAAAGUUGUUGCAGUUAAAAAGCUCGUAGUCGCAUUUCUGGUGGCGAGAGGAUCCGGUCCGACCUUUUGGUGGGUUCUUGGGUCUCUUUCGCCAUCCUUGAGUGGUCCGUUCUGGCAUUAGGUUGUCGGAGCGUCAGCCGCUCAUCGUUUACUGUGAGAAAAUUAGAGUGUUCAAAGCAGGCUUAUGCCGUUGAAUAUAUUAGCAUGGAAUAAUAAGAUAGGACCUCGGUACUAUUUUGUUGGUUUGCGCACCAAGGUAAUGAUGAACAGGGACAGUUGGGGGUAUUUGUAUUUCGUUGUCAGAGGUGAAAUUCUUAGAUUUACGAAAGACAAACUACUGCGAAAGCAUUUACCAAGGAUGUUUUCA